This 460-nucleotide ribosomal RNA is filed under the name uncultured bacterium. RNAcentral describes it as "partial 16S ribosomal RNA". It matches the Rfam family "Bacterial small subunit ribosomal RNA", at positions 338 to 795 of the family's 1533-position model. The record is from RNAcentral.
CCUACGGGUGGCAGCAGUGAGGAAUAUUGGUCAAUGGGCGAGAGUCUGAACCAGCCAAGUAGCGUGAAGGAUGACUGCCCUAUGGGUUGUAAACUUCUUUUAUAUGGGAAUAAAAUGUUCCACGUGUGGGAUUUUGUAUGUACCAUAUGAAUAAGGAUCGGCUAACUCCGUGCCAGCAGCCGCGGUAAUACGGAGGACUCGAGCGUUAUCCGGAUUUAUUGGGUUUAAAGGGUGCGUAGGUGGAUUGGUAAGUCGGUUGUGAAAGUGUGGGGCUCAACCGUAAAAUUGCAGUUGAAACUGGCAGUCUUGAGUACAGUAGAGGUGAGCGGAAUUCGUGGUGUAGCGGUGAAAUGCGUAGAUAUCACGAAGAACUCCGGUUGCGAAGGCAGCUCCCUGGACUGCAACUGACACUGAGGCUCGAAAGUGUGGGUAUCAAACAGGAUUAGAUACCCUUGUAGUC